UGCAGUCGACGAUGAAGCCCAGCUUGCUGGGUGGAUUAGUGGCGAACGGGUGAGUAACACGUGAGUAACCUGCCCUUGACUCUGGGAUAAGCGUUGGAAACGACGUCUAAUACCGGAUACGAGCUUCCACCGCAUGGUGAGUUGCUGGAAAGAAUUUUGGUCAAGGAUGGACUCGCGGCCUAUCAGCUUGUUGGUGAGGUAAUGGCUCACCAAGGCGACGACGGGUAGCCGGCCUGAGAGGGUGACCGGCCACACUGGGACUGAGACACGGCCCAGACUCCUACGGGAGGCAGCAGUGGGGAAUAUUGCACAAUGGGCGAAAGCCUGAUGCAGCAACGCCGCGUGAGGGACGACGGCCUUCGGGUUGUAAACCUCUUUUAGCAGGGAAGAAGCGAAAGUGACGGUACCUGCAGAAAAAGCACCGGCUAACUACGUGCCAGCAGCCGCGGUAAUACGUAGGGUGCAAGCGUUGUCCGGAAUUAUUGGGCGUAAAGAGCUCGUAGGCGGUUUGUCGCGUCUGCUGUGAAAUCCCGAGGCUCAACCUCGGGUCUGCAGUGGGUACGGGCAGACUAGAGUGCGGUAGGGGAGAUUGGAAUUCCUGGUGUAGCGGUGGAAUGCGCAGAUAUCAGGAGGAACACCGAUGGCGAAGGCAGAUCUCUGGGCCGCUACUGACGCUGAGGAGCGAAAGGGUGGGGAGCAAACAGGCUUAGAUACCCUGGUAGUCCACCCCGUAAACGUUGGGCGCUAGAUGUGGGGACCAUUCCACGGUUUCCGUGUCGUAGCUAACGCAUUAAGCGCCCCGCCUGGGGAGUACGGCCGCAAGGCUAAAACUCAAAGGAAUUGACGGGGGCCCGCACAAGCGGCGGAGCAUGCGGAUUAAUUCGAUGCAACGCGAAGAACCUUACCAAGGCUUGACAUAUACGAGAACGGGCCAGAAAUGGUCAACUCUUUGGACACUCGUAAACAGGUGGUGCAUGGUUGUCGUCAGCUCGUGUCGUGAGAUGUUGGGUUAAGUCCCGCAACGAGCGCAACCCUCGUUCUAUGUUGCCAGCACGUAAUGGUGGGAACUCAUGGGAUACUGCCGGGGUCAACUCGGAGGAAGGUGGGGACGACGUCAAAUCAUCAUGCCCCUUAUGUCUUGGGCUUCACGCAUGCUACAAUGGCCAGUACAAAGGGCUGCAAUACCGUAAGGUGGAGCGAAUCCCAAAAAGCUGGUCCCAGUUCGGAUUGAGGUCUGCAACUCGACCUCAUGAAGUCGGAGUCGCUAGUAAUCGCAGAUCAGCAACGCUGCGGUGAAUACGUUCCCGGGCCUUGUACACACCGCCCGUCAAGUCAUGAAAGUCGGUAACACCCGAAGCCAGUGGCCUAACCGCAAGGA
RNAcentral lists this ribosomal RNA (1378 nucleotides) under Plantibacter cousiniae (nom. nud.). RNAcentral describes it as "bacterial SSU rRNA". It matches the Rfam family "Bacterial small subunit ribosomal RNA". The record is from RNAcentral. Lineage: Bacteria; Bacillati; Actinomycetota; Actinomycetes; Micrococcales; Microbacteriaceae.